RNAcentral lists this long non-coding RNA (226 nucleotides) under Nicotiana benthamiana. RNAcentral's name for it is "long non-coding RNA (NBEN_LNC035675)". Lineage: Eukaryota; Viridiplantae; Streptophyta; Magnoliopsida; Solanales; Solanaceae. The record is from RNAcentral.
CUUGAGUUCCCUCUGAACUUGGAUAUUUGGGGGCUGACCCUUCCACACUGCACUAUGAUCUAAUUCUGCAAUGUCUUUAUUGAUAAAACCAGUGUCCUUUCUUUUAAAACCAGUACACCUAUUGUUGGAUAUCAUGCCUAUAGGUCUCAGCUAGGCAAGCCAUUAGGUGAUUAAUCAAUUGUGUCAGUUCUUAAUAAAUUACAACUAAACCAAGCUUAGUUCGAAC